GUUUCAACAUUUGGUUUUUUGUAUUUUUCAACAUUCAUCAAAUCACAUUAUUUUUUUAGAUCAUUAACCUUUAGUACAUACUUUCAUGUGUUAGAAAACAUCUGCAUUCAUUUGAUAUUUGAUAACUUUAAUAUAAGAAUUGAGCUUGUUUGAUUUUGUUCUGCAAACAUGUACAGGUUCAACAUUUACUAGUUAAAAAGAGAAAUAUCUUACUUGGCUUCGAACUUGUAACAUUUUCCUUGUGUAGGCCUGAUGUAGAACCACAAAGAACACUUAAAUGGAAUGGGAAACAAUUCUCAAAUUUGUAUUA
Molecule: unclassified non-coding RNA, 310 nt
Filed under: Hevea brasiliensis (rubber tree)
Lineage: Eukaryota; Viridiplantae; Streptophyta; Magnoliopsida; Malpighiales; Euphorbiaceae
Source: RNAcentral